RNAcentral lists this ribosomal RNA (465 nucleotides) under Vreelandella stevensii. RNAcentral's name for it is "partial 16S ribosomal RNA". It matches the Rfam family "Bacterial small subunit ribosomal RNA", at positions 338 to 795 of the family's 1533-position model. The record is from RNAcentral. Lineage: Bacteria; Pseudomonadati; Pseudomonadota; Gammaproteobacteria; Oceanospirillales; Halomonadaceae.
CCUACGGGUGGCUGCAGUGGGGAAUAUUGGACAAUGGGGGGAACCCUGAUCCAGCCAUGCCGCGUGUGUGAAGAAGGCCCUCGGGUUGUAAAGCACUUUCAGUGAGGAAGAACGCCUGGUGGUUAAUACCCAUCAGGAAAGACAUCACUCACAGAAGAAGCACCGGCUAACUCCGUGCCAGCAGCCGCGGUAAUACGGAGGGUGCGAGCGUUAAUCGGAAUUACUGGGCGUAAAGCGCGCGUAGGUGGCUUGAUAAGCCGGUUGUGAAAGCCCCGGGCUCAACCUGGGAACGGCAUCCGGAACUGUCAAGCUAGAGUGCAGGAGAGGAAGGUAGAAUUCCCGGUGUAGAGGUGAAAUGCGUAGAGAUCGGGAGGAAUACCAGUGGCGAAGGCGGCCUUCUGGACUGACACUGACACUGAGGUGCGAAAGCGUGGGUAGCAAACAGGAUUAGAUACCCCGGUAGUC